Molecule: ribosomal RNA, 468 nt
Filed under: uncultured bacterium
Lineage: Bacteria
Description: partial 16S ribosomal RNA
Rfam family: Bacterial small subunit ribosomal RNA
Source: RNAcentral
GACGAACGCUGGCGGCGUGCUUAACACAUGCCAGUCGAACGGAAAGGCCCUGCUUUUGUGGGGUGCUCGAGUGGCGAACGGGUGAGUAACACGUGAGUAACCUGCCCUUGACUUUGGGAUAACUUCAGGAAACUGGGGCUAAUACCGGAUAGGAGCUCCUGCUGCAUGGUGGGGGUUGGAAAGUUUCGGCGGUUGGGGAUGGACUCGCGGCUUAUCAGCUUGUUGGUGGGGUAGUGGCUUACCAAGGCUUUGACGGGUAGCCGGCCUGAGAGGGUGACCGGCCACAUUGGGACUGAGAUACGGCCCAGUCUCCUACGGGAGGCAGCAGUGGGAAAUAUUGCACAAUGGGCGGAAGCCUGAUGCAGCAACGCCGCGUGCGGGAUGACGGCCUUCGGGUUGUAAACCGCUUUCGCCUGUGACGAAGCGUGAGUGACGGUAAUGGGUAAAGAAGCACCGGCUAACUACGUG